UAAGGUAACAUAAAUUUACCUUCUCUUGCCUAAAGAGAUACUAUCUAAAAAUGACAGCUGCUCAGAUCUUUUCUUUGCUGCUUCCCCAGACGAACCCGUGCUAGGUUUGCCUCGUCUCUUUAUGUAAUAUUCUCUUACAUAUCCCCAUCUCUUACUGCAGUCAUUAUCUAUAAAUAUAAAAAUAAAAACAAAGAGGCAAGUGUUCUAAAUUACUACAUGUUAUUUUUUUAGGUUUUUGGCUACAGGAGAAUCAUUUCGAUUCUUGGUGUUUCAGUUUAGAAUAUGCCAUUCGUGGAUUAGUGUAAUAAUAAUGCAGGUUGCUGAAUCCAUUGUUGCAAGAAUGCUUACUUUGGUAAUGCCACAACCAACAGAGGAAAUGUUCAAAACCAUCUCUACGAAAUUCAGAUCUCUUUGGGAUUUUCCGAACUGUGUUGGAGCAAUUGAUGGUAAGCAUAUUCGGAUAAAGGCUCCAAAAAAUAGUGGAUCCACUUUCUUCAACUGCAAGGACUUUCAUUCUGUAGUGAUGUUGGCACUUGUAGAUGCAGAUAAUAAUUUUGUUGCAGUAGACAUAGGAUCGUACGGCAGAGAAGGAGAUGCAGGCAUAUAUUUAAAAAGUAGAUUUGGAAAAAAAUUCUGAAAAAAGAAUUUAAUAUUCCACCGCCACAACCAUUGCCUGGCAUGAAUAUGCUGGUGCCCCAUGUUAUUCUCAGCGAUGAGGCAUUUGCUCUUCAUGAGCAUCUCAUGAAACCAUAUCCACGAAAUCAAUCAGUAUCUGAUAAAACUAAUAUAUCAAGCAAUCUAUAAUUACCGACUUUCCCGAGCUCCCAAUUGCUACGCGUCCGGAAACCACGGAUAAACUUAUAAUGUGUGCCUGUAUUUUAUAUAAUCUUCUGCGUGAAACAAAUAUUCUUCCGACAGUGACUAAUAGGACAGAGAAAUACUCACUUCCUACAGAAAAUUUACUUCCACUAAUUCACAACAACGUACGCGGGGCAAAUAUACCAGUUCAAAUUCGUGAGACAUUUAAAACGUAUUUUAAUGGACCCGGUGCUGUAGCAUGGCAGGAACAGCAUUACCGAGAAAACUAAAUCAAUCACAACAAUGUAAUAUAUUAAAAAUAUAUAUAUAUUUUUUAUGGUAA
This 1141-nucleotide long non-coding RNA is filed under the name Anthonomus grandis grandis. Its description in RNAcentral is "uncharacterized LOC126742464". The record is from RNAcentral. Lineage: Eukaryota; Metazoa; Arthropoda; Insecta; Coleoptera; Curculionidae.